RNAcentral lists this ribosomal RNA (488 nucleotides) under Gleimia europaea. RNAcentral's name for it is "bacterial SSU rRNA". It matches the Rfam family "Bacterial small subunit ribosomal RNA", at positions 38 to 517 of the family's 1533-position model. Lineage: Bacteria; Bacillati; Actinomycetota; Actinomycetes; Actinomycetales; Actinomycetaceae. The record is from RNAcentral.
GGCGGCGUGCUUAACACAUGCAAGUCGAACGGGAUCCGGAAUGCUUUUUGUGUUUUGGUGAGAGUGGCGAACGGGUGAGUAACACGUGAGUAACCUGCCCCCUUCUUUUGGAUAACCGCAUGAAAGUGUGGCUAAUACAGGAUAAUCCAGGCUGGUCGCAUGAUUGGUUUGGGAAAUGCUUUGUUGUGGUGGGGGAUGGGCUCGCGGCCUAUCAGCUUGUUGGUGGGGUGAUGGCCUACCAAGGCGGUGACGGGUAGCCGGCCUGAGAGGGUGGGCGGUCACACUGGGACUGAGAUACGGCCCAGACUCCUACGGGAGGCAGCAGUGGGGGAUUUUGCACAAUGGGCGCAAGCCUGAUGCAGCGACGCCGCGUGAGGGAUGAAGGCCUUCGGGUUGUAAACCUCUUUCGCUGGGUUGAAAGGCCAUGCUUUGGGUGUGGUUGAUUUGAACUGGUAAAGAAGUACCGGCUAACUACGUGCCAGCAGCCG